This 73-nucleotide transfer RNA is filed under the name Candidatus Pacearchaeota archaeon. RNAcentral describes it as "tRNA-Gln". It matches the Rfam family "tRNA". Rfam says of the family: Transfer RNA (tRNA) molecules are approximately 80 nucleotides in length. Their secondary structure includes four short double-helical elements and three loops (D, anti-codon, and T loops). Further hydrogen bonds mediate the characteristic L-shaped molecular structure. tRNAs have two regions of fundamental functional importance: the anti-codon, which is responsible for specific mRNA codon recognition, and the 3' end, to which the tRNAs corresponding amino acid is attached (by aminoacyl-tRNA synthetases). tRNAs cope with the degeneracy of the genetic code in two manners: having more than one tRNA (with a specific anti-codon) for a particular amino acid; and 'wobble' base-pairing, i.e. permitting non-standard base-pairing at the 3rd anti-codon position. Lineage: Archaea; Nanobdellati. The record is from RNAcentral.
AGCCCUGUAGUAUAGCGGUCAAGUAUCACGGACUCUGGCUCCGUGGACCCAGGUUCGAAUCCUGGCAGGGCUA